GGGGUUAUCCCUUAAAUGGUAGAGGGCUCGUUUUGCAUACGAGUAGUCCGAGUUCGAGUCUCGGUAACUCCA
Mucor ambiguus is the source of this 72-nucleotide transfer RNA. It matches the Rfam family "tRNA". Rfam says of the family: Transfer RNA (tRNA) molecules are approximately 80 nucleotides in length. Their secondary structure includes four short double-helical elements and three loops (D, anti-codon, and T loops). The record is from Rfam. Lineage: Eukaryota; Fungi; Mucoromycota; Mucoromycetes; Mucorales; Mucoraceae.